GUGGCCGUAGCUCAGUUGGCAGAGCGCAAGGUUGUGGUCCUUGAUGUCGCGGGUUCGAGCCCCGUCGGUCACC
RNAcentral lists this transfer RNA (73 nucleotides) under Planctomycetota bacterium. Its description in RNAcentral is "tRNA-His". It matches the Rfam family "tRNA". From Rfam's summary of the family: Transfer RNA (tRNA) molecules are approximately 80 nucleotides in length. Their secondary structure includes four short double-helical elements and three loops (D, anti-codon, and T loops). The record is from RNAcentral. Lineage: Bacteria; Pseudomonadati; Planctomycetota.